CCAUUUUUGUAAGUCGAUUUAGUCUUGUCUAAGAGUGGGUAAAUAGUUGGUCGAUUUAGUUGGCGGACGGGUGAGUAAGCUGGGAACCGUGCCCUGUACAGGGGAGUAACACUUAGAAUAGGUGCUAUACCGCAUAAGCGCACAGUAUCGCAUGAUACAGUGUGAAAACUCCGGUGGUACAGGAUGGACCCGCGUCUGAUUAGCUGGUUGGCGGGGUAACGGCCCGACCAAGGCGACGAUCAGUAGCCGGCCUGAGAGGGUGAACGGCCACAUUGGGACUGAGACACGGCCCAAACUCCUACGGGAGGCAGCAGUGGGGAAUAUUGUACAAUGGGGGGAACCCUGAUCCAGCGACGCCGCGGGAGUGAAGAAGUAUUUCGGUAUGUAAAGCUCUAUCAGCAGGGAAGAAAAUGACGGUACCUGACUAAGAAGCCCCGGCUAACUACGUG
This 449-nucleotide ribosomal RNA is filed under the name uncultured Lachnospiraceae bacterium. Its description in RNAcentral is "bacterial SSU rRNA". It matches the Rfam family "Bacterial small subunit ribosomal RNA", at positions 49 to 507 of the family's 1533-position model. The record is from RNAcentral. Lineage: Bacteria; Bacillati; Bacillota; Clostridia; Lachnospirales; Lachnospiraceae.